GUCCACGCCCUAAACGAUGUCAACUGGUUGUUGGGAAUUCACUUUCUCAGUAACGAAGCUAACGCGUGAAGUUGACCGCCUGGGGAGUACGGCCGCAAGGUUAAACUCAAGGAUUGACGGGACCCGCACAAGCGGUGGAUGAUGUUCUUAAUUCGAUGCAACGCGAAACCUUACCCACCUUUGACAUGUAUGGAAUCCUUUAGAGAUGAAGGAGUGCUCGAAAGAGAGCCAUAACACAGGUGCUGCAUGGCUGUCGU
This 257-nucleotide ribosomal RNA is filed under the name uncultured bacterium. RNAcentral's name for it is "partial 16S ribosomal RNA". It matches the Rfam family "Bacterial small subunit ribosomal RNA", at positions 793 to 1055 of the family's 1533-position model. The record is from RNAcentral.